Molecule: ribosomal RNA, 236 nt
Filed under: uncultured bacterium
Lineage: Bacteria
Description: partial 16S ribosomal RNA
Rfam family: Bacterial small subunit ribosomal RNA
Source: RNAcentral
UGAGUAACCUGCCCUUAACUCUGGGAUAAGCCUGGGAAACUGGGUCUAACACCGGAUAUGACUCCUCAUCGCAUGGUGGGGGGUGGAAAGCUUUAUUGUGGUUUUGGAUGGACUCGCGGCCUAUCAGCUUGUUGGUGAGGUAAUGGCUCACCAAGGCGACGACGGGUAGCCGGCCUGAGAGGGUGACCCGGCCACACUGGGACUGAGACACGGCCCAGACUCCGUACGGGAGGCAG